ACGGGAGGCAGCAGUAGGGAAUAUUGCACAAUGGGGGAAACCCUGAUGCAGCAACGCCACGUGUGGGAAGACGCAUUUCGGUGUGUAAACCACUGUCGUGAGGGAAUAAGGCUACUUCUCGGAGUAGUUGAAUGUACCUCGAAAGGAAGCCCCGGCUAACUACGUGCCAGCAGCCGCGGUAAUACGUAGGGGGCAAGCGUUAUCCGGAUUUACUGGGUGUAAAGGGAGCGUAGACGGCUUUGCAAGUCUGAAGUGAAAGCCCGGGGCUCAACCCCGGAACUGCUUUGGAAACUGUAGAGCUAGAGUGCAGGAGAGGUAAGUGGAAUUCCUAGUGUAGCGGUGAAAUGCGUAGAUAUUAGGAGGAACACCAGUGGCGAAGGCGGCUUACUGGACUGUAACUGACGUUGAGGCUCGAAGGCGUGGGGAGCAAACAGGAUUAGAUACCCUGGUA
RNAcentral lists this ribosomal RNA (451 nucleotides) under uncultured Clostridium sp. Its description in RNAcentral is "partial 16S ribosomal RNA". It matches the Rfam family "Bacterial small subunit ribosomal RNA", at positions 341 to 792 of the family's 1533-position model. Lineage: Bacteria; Bacillati; Bacillota; Clostridia; Eubacteriales; Clostridiaceae. The record is from RNAcentral.